UCGUGAGGACGACCUCACCACCUGAGCGGUGUACCAACGGGGACGGCCCUG
Molecule: non-coding RNA, 51 nt
Filed under: Pseudomonas knackmussii
Lineage: Bacteria; Pseudomonadati; Pseudomonadota; Gammaproteobacteria; Pseudomonadales; Pseudomonadaceae
Also listed under: 1 other name
Description: Guanidine-II sequence
Rfam family: Guanidine-II riboswitch aptamer (mini-ykkC)
About the family: Simpler in structure and has fewer highly conserved nucleotide positions than the ykkC-yxkD leader. Despite this each of its two stem-loop structures directly bind free guanidine.
Source: RNAcentral